Molecule: ribosomal RNA, 497 nt
Filed under: uncultured bacterium
Lineage: Bacteria
Description: partial 16S ribosomal RNA
Rfam family: Bacterial small subunit ribosomal RNA
Source: RNAcentral
GAUGAACGCUGGCGGCGUGCCUAAUACAUGCAAGUCGAGCGAACGGACGAGAAGCUUGCUUCUCUGAUGUUAGCGGCGGACGGGUGAGUAACACGUGGAUAACCUACCUAUAAGACUGGGAUAACUUCGGGAAACCGGAGCUAAUACCGGAUAAUAUUUUGAACCGCAUGGUUCAAAAGUGAAAGACGGUCUCGCUGUCACUUAUAGAUGGAUCCGCGCUGCAUUAGCCAGUUGGUAAGGUAACGGCUUACCAAGGCAACGAUGCAUAGCCGACCUGAGAGGGUGAUCGGCCACACUGGAACUGAGACACGGUCCAGACUCCUACGGGAGGCAGCAGUAGGGAAUCUUCCGCAAUGGGCGAAAGCCUGACGGAGCAACGCCGCGUGAGUGAUGAAGGUCUUCGGAUCGUAAAACUCUGUUAUUAGGGAAGAACAUAUGUGUAAGUAACUGUGCACAUCUUGACGGUACCUAAUCAGAAAGCCACGGCUAACUACGUG